AGUGAACGCUGGCGGUAGGCCUAACACAUGCAAGUCGAACGGCAGCACAGUAAGAGCUUGCUCUUACGGGUGGCGAGUGGCGGACGGGUGAGGAAUACAUCGGAAUCUACUUUUUCGUGGGGGAUAACGUAGGGAAACUUACGCUAAUACCGCAUACGACCUACGGGUGAAAGCAGGGGAUCUUCGGACCUUGCGCGAUUGAAUGAGCCGAUGUCGGAUUAGCUAGUUGGCGGGGUAAAGGCCCACCAAGGCGACGAUCCGUAGCUGGUCUGAGAGGAUGAUCAGCCACACUGGAACGGAGACACGGUCCAGACUCCUACGGGAGGCAGCAGUGGGGAAUAUUGGACAAUGGGCGCAAGCCUGAUCCAGCCAUCCCGCGUGGGUGAAGAAGGCCUUCGGGUUGUAAAGCCCUUUUGUUGGGAAAGAAAAGCAGCAGGUUAAUACCCCGCUGUUCUGACGGUAACCAAAGAAUAAGCACCGGCUAACUUCGUG
RNAcentral lists this ribosomal RNA (492 nucleotides) under uncultured bacterium. RNAcentral's name for it is "partial 16S ribosomal RNA". It matches the Rfam family "Bacterial small subunit ribosomal RNA", at positions 29 to 507 of the family's 1533-position model. The record is from RNAcentral.